CCGAGUUCGGGGGCAAUCCCAGUCCCGACCUCCAACCCUUUGUGAACAUAUCUUGCUGCUUCGGGGGCGACCCUGCCGUUCGCGGCAUUCCCCCCGGAGGUCAUCAAAACACUGCAUUAUUACGUCGGAGUAAAAAGUUAAUUUAAUA
Molecule: unclassified non-coding RNA, 148 nt
Filed under: uncultured Mycosphaerellaceae
Lineage: Eukaryota; Fungi; Ascomycota; Dothideomycetes; Mycosphaerellales; Mycosphaerellaceae
Source: RNAcentral